CCAAGGUCUCCAGAGGAAGGCUCGUCCUCUCUGGGAUAGUCGGGACCUAAGGCGAGGCCGAAAGGCGUAGCCGAUGGACGACGGGUGGAUAUUCCCGUACCCGAUGUGUGGCGAUGGAGUGACGGAGAAGGCUCAGGCAACCAGCUGCUGGAAUAGCUGGGGCAAGCGAGAUACCUGCGCACCAGGGAAAUCCGGUGCGCGCAAGGGGAAGGCGCGAAGCAUACGGAAAGCUGCGGCAAGUACGGAAAAGCUGAGAGCAGGCUUCCAGGAAAAGCUUCUAGCGCAACACGCAUCGGUCCGUACCGAAAAUGGACACACAUGGGCAAGGAGAGAAUCCUGAGGUGAGCGAGAGAACUAUAGCUAAGGAACUCUGCAAAAUGACCCGUAACUUAGGGAGAAGGGGUGCUCCAGAAAUGGAGCCGCAGUAAAACGGCCCAAGCGACUGUUUACCAAAAACACAGCUCUCUGCGAAGGCGCAAGCCGAAGUAUAGGGGGUGACGCCUGCCCGGUGCUGGAAGGUCAAGGGGAGCUGUCAGCGCAAGCGAAGCAGCGAGCCGAAGCCCCAGUAAACGGCGGCCGUAACAAUAACGGUCCUAAGGUAGCGAAAUUCCUUGUCGGGCAAGUUCCGACCCGCACGAAAGGCGUAACGAUUUGGGCGCUGUCUCAGCUGUAGACUCGGUGAAGUCUUAGUACCUGUGAAGAUGCAGGUUGCCCGCGACUAGACGGAAAGACCCCAUGGAGCUUCACUGCAGGUUGACAUUGGGCUUGGAUGCAUGAUGUACAGGAUAGGUGGGAGGCUGUGAGCCGUGCGCGCCAGCGUACGGGGAGCCGCUGUUGGGAUACCACCCUUCAUGCAUCUAGGUCCUAACCGGAGGCAACGGGCCACGGGACAGUGUCAGUCGGGCAGUUUGACUGGGGCGGUCGCCUCCCAAAGAGUAACGGAGGCGCCCAAAGAUACCCUCAGCAUGGAUGGAAACCAUGCAUAGAGUGCAAAGGCAUAAGGGUGUCUGACUGCGAGACAUACAGGUCGAGCAGGGACGAAAGUCGGGCUUAGUGAUCCGGCGGAUCCGAAUGGAAGGGCCGUCGCUCAACGGAUAAAAGCUACCCUGGGGAUAACAGGCUGAUCUCCCCCAAGAGUUCACAUCGACGGGGAGGUUUGGCACCUCGAUGUCGGCUCAUCGCAUCCUGGAGCUGAAGUCGGUUCCAAGGGUUGGGCUGUUCGCCCAUUAAAGCGGUACGCGAGCUGGGUUCAGAACGUCGUGAGACAGUUCGGUCCCUAUCUGUCGUGGGCGCAGGAGGUUUGAGGAGAGCUGCCCCUAGUACGAGAGGACCGGGGUGGACGGACCGAUGGUGCACCAGUUGUCACGCCAGUGGCACAGCUGGGCAGCCAAGUCCGGACGGGAUAAGCGCUGAAGGCAUCUAAGCGUGAAGCCCCCUCCAAGAUGAGACCUCCCAUUGGCGACAAGUAAGGCCCCUCGAAGACGACGAGGUUGAUAGGCCGCGAGUGCAAGCGCAGCGAUGUGCUUAGCGGGGCGGUACUAAUAGGCCGAGGACUUGGUC
This 1560-nucleotide ribosomal RNA is filed under the name metagenome. Its description in RNAcentral is "bacterial LSU rRNA". It matches the Rfam family "Bacterial large subunit ribosomal RNA", at positions 1345 to 2925 of the family's 2925-position model. The record is from RNAcentral.